This 556-nucleotide ribosomal RNA is filed under the name Lateolabrax maculatus (spotted sea bass). RNAcentral describes it as "partial 16S ribosomal RNA". It matches the Rfam family "Bacterial large subunit ribosomal RNA", at positions 600 to 1301 of the family's 2925-position model. The record is from RNAcentral. Lineage: Eukaryota; Metazoa; Chordata; Actinopteri; Acropomatiformes; Lateolabracidae.
CGUACCUUUUGCAUCAUGAUUUAGCUAGUAAACCCCAAGCAAAGCGUACUUUAGUUUGACCCCCCGAAACCAGUGUGAGCUACUCCAAGACAGCCUAACAUAGGGCACACCCGUCUCUGUGGCAGUAGAGUGGGAAGAGCUUUGAGUAGAGGUGACAGACCUACCGAACCUGGUUAUAGCUGGUUGCCUGAGAAAUGGAUAGGAGUUCAGCCUCCCGGCUUCUCUAUUCAGAGCCUAUCACCCACCAAACAAAACGAUAGAUGCAAGAGAAACCGAGAGAGUUAGUCAAAAGAGGUACAGCUCUUUUGAAACAAGACACAACUUUCCCAGGAGGGUAAAGAUCAUAAUAAGAAUAAGGUAAAAUGUUUUGGUGGGCCUAAAAGCAGCCAUCCCUCUAGAAAGCGUUAAAGCUCAAACAUACCCCCUAUCCUAUUAUCCCGAUAACUUUAUCUUAGCCCCCUAAUCUUACCAGGCCGUUCCAUACAAAUAUGGAAGUGACCAUGCUAAUAUGAGUAAUAAGAGAGCCUCGCCUCUCUCCUUGCACAAGUGUAAAUCG